Molecule: ribosomal RNA, 253 nt
Filed under: uncultured bacterium
Lineage: Bacteria
Description: partial 16S ribosomal RNA
Rfam family: Bacterial small subunit ribosomal RNA
Source: RNAcentral
UACGUAGGGGGCAAGCGUUGUCCGGAUUUAUUGGGCGUAAAGAGCGUGUAGGCGGCCAGGUAGGUCCGAUGUGAAAGCCCCGAGCUUAACUUGGGAAUGGCAUUGGAAACUGGCGGGCUGGAGUGCGGCAGAGGGGGGUGGAAUUCCACGUGUAGCAGUGAAAUGCGUAGAGAUGUGGAGGAACACCGAUGGCGAAGGCAGCCCCCUGGGCCGACACUGACGCUCAGGCACGAAAGCGUGGGGAGCAAACAGG